Molecule: long non-coding RNA, 4529 nt
Filed under: Sus scrofa (pig)
Lineage: Eukaryota; Metazoa; Chordata; Mammalia; Artiodactyla; Suidae
Description: lncRNA (ENSSSCG00030060779.1)
Source: RNAcentral
UUUUUUUUUUUGGCUAUAAUGCCUUUAAUGGAGGGUGGUACAAAAUGCAUCAAUGCAAAAGAAUGUUUUAUGUACUCAUUAGCAUAGUGAUUAAUGUAAAUUAGAGAUACACAAUGUGUUAAACCUUAAAAUCUACAAAGUUUCCUGCAACCUAAAAUAAUGUAAAAGAUUCCUUAAGUUUUUACCCACCACCUUUAAAGUUCUAAAUGGUAUCUGGGGGAACUGAAAAUGUAUGUGUAGUAUGUUAUUUAGAAGAAUUUACAAGUUUCUGUUGACUUUGUUGAUUGAGCAUGGCUACUAAUAAUUAUGUAAUGAAAUUGAAUACAGAAACUUCCAUAAUUUAGCUCAUGCAAUGUUUUUUAACCCUCUUUAGAAAGGAGCUGCAUGUAGAAUGAGAUCACAUGCUUGCAAGAUAGCAAAUACCCUUUUUAUAUUUGAAAUGUUUGCUUUAGGAAUUAAUAGAAGGCAUAUUUUUCUAAUUUUAUGACUAAAUUUAGAAUGAACUGAACGAUUAUUUUUAAGCCAUCGCAAAGUCUCCGAGUGGUAAAGUAGUGUUGCUUUCUAAGCUAUCACAGUUGACUUUAUUCUUCUACUCUGAAAAAAUCUUGACUUGUUUGAGUGUAUAUAAUAUAUAUAAAGGGAGCCUUAAUGGAUUUGUUUUCAUAAUUUAAUAUUUUUUGUAUUUGCUCUUGUAUAAUUGUUUUUAACGGAAAGUAUUACAGAAUUGAGGGUGGAAUUCUUAGAACCAAAGUUAUUCUUAAUAAAAAUCACCACAUGCUUGGAAAAAAAAAAAAAACAAAAAACAAAAAACUGCACUCUAGUGGAGGGCAGUUCCAACCAUUGCAAAGUUUCUGUACUUUUGGCCCAGAAGGGUCACUUGGAGAAUGGCGGGGGAGUGACCCAAGCAUGUUAUCACUGGGGAAACUCCAAGGUCUCUGGCGACCACCUGGACACAGGGGAAGUCACAGGUGAAGGUUUCCUCAGGCACCAUCAGUCUUUAUUUCUGUUGCCAGCAGCCUUGCAUCCCGGGCCUGUGCACACCGUGUGGCUGAAAUGGCUCCUGCCUCUGCUUAUCUCACUUCUACUUGUGGAUUUUCUUCAAAUACUUCUGCUCAUUGGCCGCUUUCUGGUCUCCCUGGUGGCGUUUAUGUUGCCUUUUUGUGUAAUGCCAGAGUCCUAUGCACCUUUAGGAUACUAAUCACUGUUUGCAAUGAUAUAUUUAUUCUGGGGAUUAUUUGUGUCCCCCACUUAAUAAGGGCAAGUAAGUGCUUGUAUUUACUAUGUAUUGUAUUUCCAAUGCCUAACACCUUUCUCACCUGCUGCAUAGUAUGGUACUAAUACUUGUUAAAUAUAUGACUGAACAUCAGGACUGACACUUUGUAUAGACUUGUACAGCCAUUAGAAAUCUCUAGGUGAGGAGUUCCCGUCAUGGCUCCAUGGUAAUGAACCUAACCAGUAUCCAUGAGGAUGCAGGUUUGAUCCCUGGCCUUGCUCAGCAGGUGAAGGAUCUGGCGUUGCAGUGAGUUGUAGUGUAGGCUGCAGAUGAGGCUCACACCUGGCAUUGCUGUGGCUAUGGCAUAGUCUGGCAGCUGUAGCUCUGAUUCAACCCCUAGCCUGGGAACUUCCAUAUGCCUCAGCGGGAGCAGCCCCAGAAAAGCCAAAAAAAAAAAAAAAAAAAAAGUGAUAAGAGGAGAAGGGUACAAGAAUCAUAAUGAAGAUAAUUAAAGAGCAAGAAAGUAAGAUUCAUAAUGAAAACUUUAAAGAGCUUGCAGUAAUUUAGUUAUUUAAGAAAAAGGCUGUGAAAAGAUUUUUAUACAGAAAAUGGUGACCUUUUCUUUCUCCAUCUUUCAUUAACAAAAAGACAAAGAAAAUGGAUUCAUUUUAUAGUAUGGAGGAUUAGGUUAGCCUAAAAAUCAUGAGACACAGCCUCAUUAAACAUCCAAUGGUGGGGGCUGCAAAAAGUCCUCUGAUGCUUAAAAAAAAUUUUUUUUUAAGUUGCAAAGAAUAGUAUAAAGAAUUCCUUCACUCAAAUUUUCCAAUGUUAACAUUUUACACACUUGCAGUAUCAUUCUCUUUCUCUCUUCAUACACACACAUAUAUGGAUGUGUGUGUGUGUGUGUGUGUGUGUGUGUAGUCAGAAUCAUUUGAGAAUAAGCUAUAGAUAAUUUCCCUUUAUCACUAAAUACUGGGUACUUUAGAUCUAAAGCAAAGGACAUUCUCCUGCGGAACCACGGUAGUAUCACAAAAAUUAGGAAAAUAACACUGACACAGUACUAUUAUUUAAUUUUCAGACCUUAUUCAAUUGUUUUCUAUUGUCCCACAAAUGUCCUUUAAAGCAAAACAAAAGAGUUUUUCUGGUCCAGGAUCUAUAUUGUAUUGAGUUGUCAUGUUUUCUAAAUUCCUUUAAUCUGGAAUAGUUCUCGAGUAAAGAAUUUUAAGGUCUUUCAUGACCUUAAGGGUUUUAAGAACACAGGUCAGUUAUUUUGCAGCCUGCUCUCAAGUUGGGUCUCCGCUGUUUUGAAAAAAGAUUCCCAUUUAAGAAAUAAAAAUUUAAAUCGAAGUGUAGUUGAUUUACAAUGUUGUAUUAGUUUCAAAGCGAUUUACAUUCGUUUUGGGAAUUUUAGGUGUGGUCUUGAGUGAGGACCACAGUUAGAAGGAGCUCCUCUUCUCAAGCUUCCUGCCUCCUACCGAUUAGUCCCACUAUAUUAGAACGACUGUUCAAUGGAUGGUUCCAUGGACACAAAGUUUUUGUAUUUGGAACUGAUCUUUUUGGGUUACAUAGUUUUCUUGGCAUUCCUGCAUUUUACAAGAGUUUAAUUUCUUUCACGGUAGAUUUGUUUGCGAAUAAUUAGCACCUACUCUUUUUUUGAAAAAACAUUUGAGACUUAAGUAACCCGUAGACGCCCAUUUUCAGAAUCUCACCUUCGAAAGUGAUGAACUAUGCCCUAGCUCGGGAGACAAAGAGCUGCAAAAAUGGGUGGGUGUUGCUCAUUAAAAUCAUUCAACAAAUAUUUGUUGAGUACCUGGUGUAUGUCAGGCUUUAUUCCAAGCCCUGGGAAUACAUUCGAGAACAAAAUAAAACAAAAAUCCCUGCCCUUGUAAUUUAGUUGGGCAAAUUAAAAUUUAAAAGAAAAAAAAGUCGGAAGCCAGGAAUCCAACUUCCUUAAACAGGAAGAAAGCAAAUCUCUGAGAAAAUGGGGAGCUCUGAGAUUCCGUUCAAGUGUGGACAACGCUGCAGAACCCUCGGCAAACGCGCUGGUAAUCAAGUUCUCAGUUUAUCCAAACGCGCUAUGCAAAUGAUUAAUCCGAACACCGAAGGCCUGAAAGGACACGCGAGGCAGAACUUCCUGGGCUGUUUUAACCACAUUUUCACCAACAGUUUUCCCCCGGUGAGGAGCCUUCCCCGCCGCUGCCGCGCACUUUUGGGUCAGCCCGGCGCGGGGCCAGGCACCUGGCCUCGCACCCCAGCGAGGCCGCACCUCCCGCUCCCUGCGCGGCGGAGCACCUGGGAACCGCGCACCGAGAAAGCCCCGCAGGGAGGAGGCUCAGGGGAACCGGCUCCUCCAGCGGCCUCGCCCACUGCAAUGCAAUCUGGGUGGUUUUUCCAGGUCCCUCCCUGCCUCGUUCCGCGCCCAGUCCCUGCCCCCGCGGCGCCUGCGGGCCCGGGAGGGUGGCUCGGUGAUACCAGGACGAGGCGGGGCGGGGCGAGGCUAUCGCUGAGAGCCAGCCGAGGGGCUGCGGGGGGCCCUUUCCGGACCGGCACCCUGAAGUCCAAGAGCUGAAAGCAUGCGCCGCUGGAACUCCAGCUUGGGACAAGGGUGGUGCUAUUCACCCUGGUGGCCCUUCGCACGACAGCCUGGCCCCGGCAGAACCCGGCCUUAGCCCGCUCUCUGGGGACGCGAGCUGUUACCAGUACCGAACCGCCGUCAUCAGCACCCUCUGCAGCCGGGAAACGCGGCGGCGCGGGUCUCGGGCUCCUAAAACCCUCCCGCCAACCCCUCACUCCCGGAGCUUCAGCCGCCUCCCUACUCAGUCCGCGAUUGCUCCCGGUCAGGAAAGCUGGCUCUCCAGCUUCCUUUGAUAGGAACGGUUCUCAGAUUUGUACCCGGAGCGGGUUACUGUAGAGAUAGGUGUACGGUUUCCUGAUUUCACAUCCUAAAUAAAGGGCUGAAUACCUGGAACCGAAUUAGUAAUACUUCAGACGGAAUAGACUAGUUUCAAAUGUAAAAUCCGAGGAAACUUCCAUCCCUAGCGCUUUUCUCUCCUAAAUGUCAACAGGACCCGCCACACAGCCAGCCGUCCGACUUGGGGCGAGAGGGUGGCGUAGGGUGGUGGCGAAGGUGGGUAGAGCUAGCUGAGCUGGAGUGGGUAGGUAGACCGCGCAGGAACUUCGCCAAAUCCACACAGGUGCAAAGGCAAAGGUAUGAGGUCGAGGGUGGGAGAUCAGAGAGAGGAACUGUGGGAAAAGCUUGCUUUUUGCCUGAUUCAAGGAAACAGGUAAGGGCGGCAGAUACUUUUAAUUUGGGGCC